CAACGUUUUCGAAAGGAACGCUAAUACCGCAUACGUCCUACGGGAGAAAGCAGGGGACCUUCGGGCCUUGCGCUAUCAGAUGAGCCUAGGUCGGAUUAGCUAGUUGGUGGGGUAAUGGCUCACCAAGGCGACGAUCCGUAACUGGUCUGAGAGGAUGAUCAGUCACACUGGAACUGAGACACGGUCCAGACUCCUACGGGAGGCAGCAGUGGGGAAUAUUGGACAAUGGGCGAAAGCCUGAUCCAGCCAUGCCGCGUGUGUGAAGAAGGUCUUCGGAUUGUAAAGCACUUUAAGUUGGGAGGAAGGGCAGUAAGCUAAUACCUUGCUGUUUUGACGUUACCGACAGAAUAAGCACCGGCUAACUCUGUGCCAGCAGCCGCGGUAAUACAGAGGGUGCAAGCGUUAAUCGGAAUUACUGGGCGUAAAGCGCGCCGUAGGUGGUUUUGUUAAGGUUGGAUGUGGAAAGCCCCCGGGCUCAACCUGGGGAACUGCAAAUCCAAAACUGGGCAAGGCCUAGAGUAACGGUAGUAGGGGUGGGUGGGAAUUUUUCCUGGGUGUAGCGGGUGAAAAUGCUGUAGAAUAAUAGUGAAGGGAAACACGCAGUUGUGCGUAAGGGCGGACCCACCCUUGGUACUUGGAUUACUUGAACAACCUGGAGGGCUGCCGCAUA
This 670-nucleotide ribosomal RNA is filed under the name Pseudomonas sp. Its description in RNAcentral is "bacterial SSU rRNA". It matches the Rfam family "Bacterial small subunit ribosomal RNA", at positions 144 to 692 of the family's 1533-position model. The record is from RNAcentral. Lineage: Bacteria; Pseudomonadati; Pseudomonadota; Gammaproteobacteria; Pseudomonadales; Pseudomonadaceae.